This 460-nucleotide ribosomal RNA is filed under the name uncultured bacterium. RNAcentral's name for it is "partial 16S ribosomal RNA". It matches the Rfam family "Bacterial small subunit ribosomal RNA", at positions 338 to 795 of the family's 1533-position model. The record is from RNAcentral.
CCUACGGGUGGCAGCAGUGAGGAAUAUUGGUCAAUGGACGAAAGUCUGAACCAGCCAAGCAGCGUGAAGGAUGACUGCCCUAUGGGUUGUAAACUUCUUUUAUAUGGGAAUAAAAUCUUCCACGUGUGUGAUGUUGUAUGUACCAUAUGAAUAAGGAUCGGCUAACUCCGUGCCAGCAGCCGCGGUAAUACGGAGGAUCCGAGCGUUAUCCGGAUUUAUUGGGUUUAAAGGGAGCGUAGGUGGUUUGUUAAGUCAGAUGUGAAAGUCUGCGGCUCAACCGUAAAAUUGCAGUUGAAACUGGCAGUCUUGAGUACAGUAGAGGUGGGCGGAAUUCAUGGUGUAGCGGUGAAAUGCUUAGAGAUCACGAAGAACUCCGAUUGCGAAGGCAGCUCACUGGACUGCAACUGACGCUGAGGCUCGAAAGUGUGGGUAGCAAACAGGAUUAGAUACCCUUGUAGUC